This 404-nucleotide ribosomal RNA is filed under the name Lipotes vexillifer (Yangtze River dolphin). RNAcentral's name for it is "partial 12S ribosomal RNA". It matches the Rfam family "Bacterial small subunit ribosomal RNA", at positions 794 to 1384 of the family's 1533-position model. Lineage: Eukaryota; Metazoa; Chordata; Mammalia; Artiodactyla; Lipotidae. The record is from RNAcentral.
GCUUAGUCGUAAACCAAAGUAGUCCUGAAACAAGACUAUUCGCCAGAGUACUACCGGCAACAGCCCAAAACUCAAAGGACUUGGCGGUGCUUCAUAUCCUUCUAGAGGAGCCUGUUCUAUAAACGAUAAACCCCGAUCAACCUCACCAACCCUUGCUACUUCAGUCUAUAUACCGCCAUCUUCAGCAAACCCUAAUGAAGGCACAAAAGUAAGCACAAUUAUUAUACAUAAAAACGUUAGGUCAAGGUGUAACUCAUGAGUUGGGAAGUAAUGGGCUACAUUUUCUACAGCAAGAAUACCACUUAUAAACCACACGAAAGUUUUUAUGAAACCUAAAAACCAAAGGAGGAUUUAGCAGUAAAUUAAGACUAGAGCGCUUAAUUGAAUUAGGCCAUGAAGCACGC